AGCAGCCGCCGCGGGAAUACGUAGGGUGCAAGCGUUAAUCGGAAUUACUGGGCGUAAAGCGUGCGCAGGCGGUUAUAUAAGACAGAUGUGAAAUCCCCGGGCUCAACCUGGGAACUGCAUUUGUGACUGUAUAGCUAGAGUACGGCAGAGGGGGAUGGAAUUCCGCGUGUAGCAGUGAAAUGCGUAGAUAUGCGGAGGAACACCGAUGGCGAAGGCAAUCCCCUGGGCCUGUACUGACGCUCAUGCACGAAAGCGUGGGGAGCAAACAGGAUUAGAUACCCGUGUAGUCCCUGUCUCUUAUAC
Molecule: ribosomal RNA, 303 nt
Filed under: uncultured bacterium
Lineage: Bacteria
Description: partial 16S ribosomal RNA
Rfam family: Bacterial small subunit ribosomal RNA
Source: RNAcentral